Molecule: transfer RNA, 76 nt
Filed under: Mycobacterium novum
Lineage: Bacteria; Bacillati; Actinomycetota; Actinomycetes; Mycobacteriales; Mycobacteriaceae
Description: tRNA-Ala
Source: RNAcentral
CGGCGAGCUGUUGCGGGUCCAGCAUCGGGUCGGCCAGCAACCGGUCGGCCAGCGGUUCCAGACCGGCCUCGCGGGC